UUCAUAUUUUUUUCGUUCCUUUUACUGUAUUUAGUGUUGACACAUUUUCUAAUGGUCCCUAAAGCAGGUUUGUAAAUCUUAUGAAGGGACAUAUUCCGAUUGAAAGUGAAGCUCUUGGUAAGGGGUGAAUCUGCUAAAAAAAGACGUACCAGCUUUUGGAUUAUGAUGAUCACUCGCAUGUUUUUGAAGAAGAAUCGUCAGAACCCUUCUGAUUAUCGGGCUGAUAUUGCGCAUUAGGUAGAAUUGUUCCAAGUAGAUCGUCAUUCCAUUCUUCAUUCUCCUACUACCCCUGUUCAUUGUCCUGAAGUGGACUUGGAGUUGGCACUGAUGUACUGAUAGAUACCAUGCUCCAGUUCAUAAGUCAUAAAGUAAUCGAAAUAAUGAAACACUUACAUUGAACUUGCACUCCAGAAGCUUCUCCCAAAUCCUAACAUAUGGAUUUUGGGAAACGUAACAACCAAAUUCUAACUUAUCAAUUGUUGUUAAAUAUUG
Long non-coding RNA from Solanum pennellii, 492 nucleotides. RefSeq lists it as uncharacterized. NCBI's taxonomy places the organism in Eukaryota, Viridiplantae, Streptophyta, Magnoliopsida, Solanales, Solanaceae. The record is from RefSeq and is a predicted model, not a curated record. The transcript is spliced from 3 exons.